RNAcentral lists this microRNA (22 nucleotides) under Branchiostoma belcheri (Belcher's lancelet). Its description in RNAcentral is "bbe-miR-92b-5p". Its record names the gene bbe-miR-92b-5p. The record is from miRBase by way of RNAcentral. Lineage: Eukaryota; Metazoa; Chordata; Leptocardii; Amphioxiformes; Branchiostomatidae.
AGGUCUGGAUAGUUGCAAUCUU